GGUGAUUUUAAUAUCCAUGUGGACAUUGACAGCAAUAGCCUUAGUACUGCUUUCAAUUCACUGCUAGAUUCUAUUGGUUUCAGUCAGAGGGUGCAUAAGGCCACGCACUGUUUUAACCACACCCUCGACCUUGUGCUAGAAUAUGGCAUCAAAAUUGACGAUCCUUUAUUAUCAGACCAUUUUUUAAUAACUUUCAAAUUCCUACUACCAGACUAUACGAAAUUAAAUAAAAGUUUCUACACUAGAUGCUUAUCUGACAGUGCUAUAGCUAAAUUUAAGGAAGAUAUUCCAACAGCACUCAACUCAAUGUCAUGCCUUAAUAUAACAGAGGAAUGUUAUGUUAACUUUAGUCCCUCCCAACUUGAUAACUUUGUAGACGCUGCUACGGCCUGCCUACGGACUACUUUAGACUUGGUUGCUCCUAUCAAAAAGAAGAUGAUGAAGGAAAGGAAACUAGCACCUUGGUAUAACUCCCAAACUCGCAAAUUAAAACAAAUCUCACGAAAACUUGAAAGUAAAUGGCGUUCCACCAAACUGGAAGAAUCUCGUGUGGAUUGGCAAGAUAGUCUAAAAACUUAUAGCAGGGCCCUCAGAAAUGCCAGAUCAGACUACUACUCAAUACUAAUAGAAGAAAAUAAGAACAACCCAAGGUUUCUUUUCAGCACUGUAGCCAGGCUGACAAAGAGUCAUAGCUCUGUUGAGCCAUCUAUUCCUAUAGCUCUGAGCAGUGAUGACUUCAUGACCUUUUUUAAUGAUGAAAUUAUAACAAUUAGAGAAAAAAUUCAUCACCUUCUGCCCACAGCUUCUAACGGCUCACCAUUGGGCGCAGGAGGGCUAGAGAGAACGAUAAGACCUGAUACUUAUUUAGACGGCUUUUAUCCUUUAGACCGCCAACAAUUAAUGUUAAGGGUCUCUUCAGCUAAGCCAACUACCUGUCUCUUAGACCCCAUUCCAACGAGGCUACUUAAAGAAGCACUACCCGUGGUCAAUACCACAUUACUAGAUACGAUCAAUAUGUCCUUAU
Molecule: long non-coding RNA, 1024 nt
Filed under: Sander lucioperca (pikeperch)
Lineage: Eukaryota; Metazoa; Chordata; Actinopteri; Perciformes; Percidae
Description: lncRNA (ENSSLUG00000003752.1)
Source: RNAcentral